Molecule: transfer RNA, 87 nt
Filed under: Zetaproteobacteria bacterium CG1_02_49_23
Lineage: Bacteria; Pseudomonadati; Pseudomonadota; Candidatius Mariprofundia
Also listed under: 3 other names
Description: tRNA-Leu
Rfam family: tRNA
About the family: Transfer RNA (tRNA) molecules are approximately 80 nucleotides in length.
Source: RNAcentral
GCCGGGGUGGCGGAACUGGUAGACGCGCUGGAUUCAAAAUCCAGUGUCCUUGCGGACGUGCCGGUUCGAUUCCGGCCCUCGGUACCA